Molecule: long non-coding RNA, 202 nt
Filed under: Elaeis guineensis (African oil palm)
Lineage: Eukaryota; Viridiplantae; Streptophyta; Magnoliopsida; Arecales; Arecaceae
Description: long non-coding RNA (EGUI_LNC037581)
Source: RNAcentral
AUUUAAAAUUUUAAAUAACAAAUAAAUUAAUAAAUGCAACAAUCCCCCAAAUGAUUUAAAAUUUUAAGAACAUUAUUAAGCUUGUUUAAAAUCAUAAAAUAAACAAAAAUCAAUCAACACAAAUCUCAUAUAUUGAGCACCUUAUGCUAUGCAAUGGGUGAAGGUAUCUUUAGAAUUUGAACCUUUAUUUAGUAUUGACUGU